Pelodiscus sinensis (Chinese soft-shelled turtle) is the source of this 4246-nucleotide non-coding RNA. The record is from RefSeq and is a predicted model, not a curated record. Lineage: Eukaryota; Metazoa; Chordata; Testudines; Trionychidae.
AUAAAGCCAGCUGACUCUCAUCUUAGACCACUUACAGCAAGAGAUAAGAAGGGAGCUCUACCGGCUAAUUGCCACUACAGGGGACAGUGAACCACACUCACUAGAUGUACAUCAAGUACAUCAAGUUUUCCCUCUGAAAUACAUACUGCAUUUCUUUUCUGAGACCAAUAUCAUAGUGUACUACAAACUUCCAAGUAAUUUUGCUACAUCUAGUUCUUUCAAAACCUCUCAUGGUGCUUAACUCUCCUAUGCCACCCAAACAAUAUGGCAUAUAUUCCAAACCUACAAUCAAACACACAAUUUGACCUGCUUCAAGCCAAACUCCAAAAGUGCUUAGUCACUUAUUUACAGGCCAUGUACAGGCCUGGCCGAAGUCAGUUCCCAAAGCAGUAAUUUAUUCUGCUUUGCUGUUGGUAUGGUUUGGAGAAUGGCUGCUGUACUUCUUAACCUCCUGCCUUUCAGAGAUAAAUGAAACAGAAAUGACUUUGUUAGCAUCACAUAAGGUAUUUCUAAUCUCGCAAACCAUAAGAACAUAUCGCAAAGGCUAAAAUGCCAUUCAAGCAUUAUCUGACUUGAUACAGAAAGUAUAAAAAUGUAGGUGAACUUGAAUAAAAUGUUCCAAGUUGUGUGCAGCACCAUUUUAACAGCAUGGUAAACAAGUUUAUCCAACAGGGAAACUUUGAAAGAAAGCAUUUCUCAAUUGAUUAAUGCAGCAUCAGCUCCUUCCACCAGUUCCUGCAAAGCAACCUUAAGUGCAAGUUUCCUCAUCAUUCACUUGAGUACAAUACUUAGGUUGGAUUUUUGCACAUAAUAUCCAUAGAGGUUUUCAAAUUAGUAAAAUAAGAUUAAUUUCUCAUUAAAAUAAAUCUUAAAAGCAACAUUUUCAAAAAGUUCCAAAUACGUAUUUACAAAAUGGACAAUAUGAAUUAAGGGGCUUGAUCUGAUGGUGUAAAUAAUAAAAUAGUAAAUCUCUCAAAUGGGUAUCAAUAAGUACUUAACAACAGUGUUUGUGUCCUUUCUGUGUUCUUUAUGACUAUGUCUACUCUGCUAUGUCAGCUGGCUCAGGCUAAAUGGUUCAGGCUAAUGGGGCGCCUCGCUGCAGUGUAAACAUGCAGGCCUGGGAUGGAGUCUGGGCUCAGCGACCCUCCCACUUUGCCCCUGUCUACACUGCAAUUAAAUAACCUCUUAGCUCCAGUCUGCUGGUAUGGGCCAGCUACAGAUUUAUAACUGGAAUGCAGACAUGCCCUCUUACUAUCCUAGCAAAUGAUUAGAGCAGGAGACAUUUUUUGUAAACAGCAUGUUUUGAACUCAUGUGAGUAUCUGCACUGUAAAUUAGGGCCUAAUCUUCCAACAGCAGGGCCCUACACAUCUAUGGUACCACACCUGGAAAUGCUGGGAUCUCACAUGAAGAAUGGCACUGAGUAAUACAUUUCUCUGCUACACCAUGCUGGGACAUUAGUUCAUUGUCUCAGGGGAAAGAAUGGAACUUAUUGAACACUGCUUCCUGCAGGCAUUUUAUUUCCUAAGUAUCCCUUUACAAAUCAGGACUGACUGUACUUAGUUUAUAUUUGAUAAGAUCAUACUCCAAUGAGCUCUGGCUCUGAGGGUAGAACAGGCUUAAUUUUUCCUGGCAAAAUAACUUACAUAUGUUGUAAUCAAGAUGAGUGCUACUGAUUUUUAAAGGAUAACUGAGUUCCUGAACAGCUCCCACACAGACAGCUCCUUUAUAUGGGACAACGGUCAAGCUAGUGUUAGGCUUUACAAAUAUAACAACCCCUUUAAAAUAUUUAAUUUCAUUUUGGCUUCUUGGGAGCACAGUGCAGUUAUUAGAACCCCACGUAAUUUAUUCAUUCUAGAAAUGUUCUGAAAAGUAACCCUUAUCAUGUUUUGUAAGAAUGUGAAUACAUACAUCAAAAAGUUUUAGACAACAUAUUUGUGUUCUGUUUUUAAAAUGGUUUGUAUCAAACAAGAAAUCUAUCGCAUACUUUCAACGAUGUGCCGACAUCUUCAGGUCUGACAACAGUGAAAAGAAGUAAACAUGUAUUUGUCACCAAAAGAAGCAGGUAUGACUGAAUAUAUGCAAGGAGCAGAUAUGUGGCAUAAAAGCUGUUUUUACAGAGAGUUGUCACAGUGGAAUGACACUUGAUUUUUUUGUAACAUUUCUUUGAAUACCUUCUGGCUUAUCUACAUAUUUGUAGUGUUGUGGUGCCCCCAAAUAACCUUAGUAGUCCAGGUGCAGUGUCACCAAUCACGUGGAGAAGGGACUAAUACCUUCCUUCUCCAUGACGUGCUGUCUUUGCGUGUACAGCCUAAAAUAGCAUUAGCUAUUUUGCUGCUGUAUCACAUUUCAAGUGCCUGGGUCUGAUUCUGCUCCCAAGAGAGUUUGGCAACUGACUUCAGUGGGCACACGAUCAUAUCUCAUAUCUAAUAUGCUGACUCCUGUCACUCCUAUUUUUCUUUGACACUACUACUGGUGGUCAAAUUUCUUUCUUCCAUUUUAAACAUUCAGGUUGAUGAUUUCAACCUAAUGUGUUAUCUCGAAUUUGUCUCAGAUACAGAUUAUUUAGAGCCAAAUUAUGAAUCCCUAACCUGUACUGGUGAGCAGUUACUCCUGAGAAUGGUAACACUGAUUUCUGUUUCCCAGUAAUUAUUUCCAGUCCACGUUUGUAACUUCAACUAACUCCUUUGCUUUUCUCUGUCAUCACUUGCACUUGCAUCACCUCAUUUUACUGUCACCAUCUGACAUAAUGUGUGUGCCUCUUUUACAUUUAAUGAAUGGAGACACUAACAAGGAUAUACCUCUACUUCCUGUGUCAUCUCUUCCCUGUAGGCUCUGAGGACAAACAAACAAACAAACACAAACAAACAAAAAAGUAAUAGUACAAUGACAGACAGUUUUUCCAUUCAUGUGCCAAUGCUCAUAUUUACACCAAUUCAAAUAUUUUUUUUCUAAAAAGAGAAUUAUAAAGUUAAUAGAUAAGUGAAUUCAGUAAUUGUAAUAUCUUGUUUUAGCAAAGCAUGGCUUUACAGUAGUUUCUUGUGAAGUCAUAUUUGACAGUUUCCAUAGCAUUGGUCUGGUAUGUCUUGUCCUUGAAAAAGCCAAGCUAUUUAUUGCUCAUGGUUCUGUUAACUACAGUAUUUUCCCCCUCGUAACAUGUGUUGUAUAACUCCAUCAAAGAUCUGGUUGAACUUGGGCAUUUUCAAUAGGGAUAUAAGCCUAGGUUUAUUGGUUAGUUGAGCAGACUAUUUGCAUUUCCUCCCCAUCCCUGCUGCCUCUAUCAGAGUUUGGGCCCACCCUGGCACCCCACAGGCAGGAGCUACUGCUGGAACAGCCUGUGCUUGUGGCCAGCUUGGGCCACCAUGGAACUACCCCAACUUAGGAUAGGCUUGCUCUUGAAGUGCAAAUUCUUGAUCUAGACUAGAGCUUCCGUCCCCACCAAGAGGUGAGACCUCAUGGUAUUGUUUUAAUCUAAUGAGAAACACAUGCAACUCAAUACAAAAAUAAUAAACCUUACACACAUUUCCCUGCCAUAGUUUCCUUAUUAUUCUAGAACAUUCUCUGGAGCCUUUCCUCCAGAUUCCAUAGUUUCCUCCCCAUUCUAGAACACCCUUCUGAUGAUACUCACGUCGAUCCCUGAACCAUGGAGCCUCUUCCCUUAGGUUAGCUUGUGUUCUCUGAUCUUGGUUGGUUCUGCAGCUAAAUCUAAUCCUCCUCUUUUGAAAGCAUUCCUAUUUCUUCUCAUCUCCUGCCAAAUUAUUUUGUCUCUCUCUCCAAAGUCUUCUCCUUAUGAGUCCUUUUAAAAACUCCUGCUUUAUUACGUCUGUCCCUUUGUUCUGUUUGAGAAUUUUCCACUUUUUCUACUUCCUCCUCUCUGCAGACAUGUUGGAUUAGUAAAUAUACAAACCAACCCUUGAGCAUCUCAUGUCAAUCCAUUUACCACACAGUCUUACAAAGCCAACAGAAAUUACCACAACCUUAGUAAUACUUCAGGUGACUAGAUUUAGGCCAGAAUUACAACAAACUAUGGAUCGUUGAUAUCCCAUGUGCAGCCAUAUAUGCCUUGCUGACAGACUACUUGCUUAUCACACAUACAGCUCUAGCCAAGAAGAGGUAAUACCAAAUAGGACUCAGCGGAGAUGCUGUCGUAUAAACCUAAUAGGCUCGGGCAACUGAGAAGGUGCUAUGGAGACAAUGGCGACUUUGUUUUCUUUUAAGCACGCAUAACCCCAGAAUUAUUUUGAAUAA